AGUGCUCUCAAGGCUCUAAAA
Molecule: microRNA, 21 nt
Filed under: Saimiriine gammaherpesvirus 2 (Herpesvirus saimiri)
Lineage: Duplodnaviria; Heunggongvirae; Peploviricota; Herviviricetes; Herpesvirales; Orthoherpesviridae
Description: miR-HSUR2-3p
Source: RNAcentral